GUGGGACAAUGGGUAUCGACACCGAAAGGUGAAGGCAAUCUCCUAAACCCAUCCGUAGUUCGGAUUGUGGGCUGCAACUCGCCCACAUGAAGCUGGAAUCUGUAGUAAUCGUGUCUCAAAAUGGCACGGUGAAUAUGUCCCUGCUCCUU
RNAcentral lists this ribosomal RNA (149 nucleotides) under uncultured Methanomicrobiales archaeon. RNAcentral's name for it is "partial 16S ribosomal RNA". It matches the Rfam family "Archaeal small subunit ribosomal RNA", at positions 1190 to 1338 of the family's 1478-position model. The record is from RNAcentral. Lineage: Archaea; Methanobacteriati; Methanobacteriota; Methanomicrobia; Methanomicrobiales.